Long non-coding RNA from Pristis pectinata (smalltooth sawfish), 635 nucleotides. RefSeq lists it as uncharacterized. Lineage: Eukaryota; Metazoa; Chordata; Chondrichthyes; Rhinopristiformes; Pristidae. The transcript is spliced from 3 exons. The record is from RefSeq and is a predicted model, not a curated record.
AAGAAUCUGAGCUGGUUCAUAGUCUAAAUCAGUUCUAUUAUGGCGCACCCUCAGAAGGACUCAAUUCCUUUGACGACUUCAUGCCUGGGAUAUCCAACUCCUGCUGCGCACCCAAGAAAGAUAACAUACAAUUAGUCCUGACUGUAUGACCUCUGGAGGACUCUCGCCACUUCUCUGGUGUUCUGUGCUCUCUAUGGCAAAGAGAGAAAGAACAGACCUAGAAUGGAGGAAGUUCAUUUGUGACUGCGCGCUAAAUGUACUUCGUUGACUGUAAUCCACUUUCAAGGCAACUAGAAGUUGUGACAGUGCAAUACAAAUUCAAGCCUUGCAUUUUAAUCUUCAAAUCCAGUGGUCAAAAAAUCCAAGACUCAAAAGCCUCCACCGAUCAAAUGAGGUAUGGUCAGCCCAUUCAAGGGGAUCGAUAAACCCAGAGAAAUUAAGACAACACCGCACCGGGGCUUCAAGAGUCAGCUGGCAAAUUACUGGGCUGUUCCUGAGUGAAGGGAGAGACCAUGGUGAGAUGAGGUGAGAGUUGCUGCAUUGCUUUAGAGCAACACCUCCACCUUCCCCGGAUCUAUCCCCUCACCCACUCCGUCUACUUGUUCAUCUCCUGGAUUUGCCCCUCAUGAUCUCAU